This 510-nucleotide ribosomal RNA is filed under the name uncultured bacterium. RNAcentral's name for it is "partial 16S ribosomal RNA". It matches the Rfam family "Bacterial small subunit ribosomal RNA", at positions 28 to 507 of the family's 1533-position model. The record is from RNAcentral.
GACGAACGCUGGCGGCGUGCUUAACACAUGCAAGUCGAACGAAGAGCGAUGGACGCUUGCUUCUAUCAAUCUUAGUGGCGCACGUGUGAGUAACGCGUAAUCAACCUGCCCUUCAGAGGGGGACCACAGUUGGAAACGACUGCUAAUACCGCAUACGAUCUGACCUCGGCAUCGAGGAUAGAUGAAAGGUGGCCUCUACAUGUCAGCUAUCACUGAAGGCGGGGAUUGCGUCUGAUUAGCUAGUUGGAGGGGUAACGGCCCACCAAGGCGAUGAUCAGUAGCCGGUCUGAGAGGAGGAACGGCCACAUUGGGACUGAGACACGGCCCAGACUCCUACGGGAGGCAGCAGUGGGGAAUCUUCCGCAAUAGACGAAAGGCUGACGGAGCAACGCCGCGUGAGGGAUGACGGCCUUCGGGUUGUAAAGCUCUGUUAAUCGGGACGAAAGGCCUUUUUGCGAAUAGUGAGAAGGAUUGACGGUACCGGAAUAGAAAGCCACGGCUAACUACGUG